GAUGAAGAACGUAGCGAAAUGCGAUAAGUAAUGUGAAUUGCAGAAUUCAGUGAAUCAUCGAAUCUUUGAACGCACAUUGCGCCCGCCAGUAUUCUGGCGGGCAUGCCUGUUCGAGCGCCAUUACAACCCUCAGGCCCCCGGGCCUGGCGUUGGGGAUCGGCGGAGCCCCCCGUGGGCACACGCCGUCCCCCAAAUGCAGUGGCGGUCCCGCCGCAGCUUCCAUCGCGUAGUAGCUAACACCUCGCGACUGGAGAGCGGCGCGGCCACGCCGUAAAACACCCAACUCUUCUGAAGUUGACCUCGAAUCAGGUAGGAAUACCCGCUGAACUUAAGCAUAUCAAUAAGCGGAGGA
This 352-nucleotide unclassified non-coding RNA is filed under the name soil metagenome. RNAcentral describes it as "partial contains 5.8S ribosomal RNA, internal transcribed spacer 2, and large subunit ribosomal RNA". The stretch from base 1 to 120 matches the Rfam family "5.8S ribosomal RNA", at positions 35 to 154 of the family's 154-position model. The record is from RNAcentral.